RNAcentral lists this long non-coding RNA (805 nucleotides) under Homo sapiens (human). RNAcentral's name for it is "non-protein coding lnc-COL6A3-12:1". The record is from RNAcentral. Lineage: Eukaryota; Metazoa; Chordata; Mammalia; Primates; Hominidae.
AUAUGAGUCAGCCCUGAAAAUCUUAGGCAGAGGAGAGAGGUGCUGAAGAUGAAGGAAGAACCCAGAUAAAAAUGGGGAAAAUGAUCAACGUAGAAGAUGGCAGCCAGACUUGAAACGACACAGAAGGGAAGCAGUUCUUCUGAAAAAGGAGACGUGCUGAGUAAACAGUCCCUGAAGUGCUCCUGGCUGGGCUCCAGAUGAGUAAUGAUUUAUGAACGGGAAAUCUGGGUCGGCCGGGCUUCAGUCCCGCGGCGCAGGGAGAUGGAAACCAGAUGCGGAGGCUUCAUCCAGAGGCCCAGGAGCGGCAGCAAGGAGGGGGUGAGGGUGCAGAGAGGGACACAGAACCACGAAGGGCACAUGUGGCGCGGGGAACACACAGAGAGGGGAGGAGGAGAAGACAGAAAAGAGGAGGGAGAGGAGAGAAUCAACCAAGCCGUCACUCUUGGAAAUAAAACACCCUUCAGAGUUAACUCAGAAAACGUUUCCUCAGCCAGAAAACCUGGUGCUUCCUCAGAAUAUACGUUUUGUUUUCAUCUACGUUCCCAUGGAAACCAGCUAAAAAAGUUCAGACACAUUUGUUGACUUCAACUACUUGGAGUACAGAGACCGUGUCUGUGUGUGUGUCUCAAUAUACACAACGUGUUUCCAAAUAUGUUUCAAUGAAAUGCUGGUUCUCUUCCAAUUAAAUCUCUGCGAGAGUUCAGUUUCCUAAAAGCUAAAAAGAAUUGAUUUUUAAUGCAAUUCUGCCAAAGAGAAGAAAAUUUAAGUGUGUAUUCUUCCUAUUGCCAAACUGUCCAAUACAAAG